UUGGACAAAAAAAGCUCAUCCCGGCACGAAACACGGGGAGAGAGAGACAUAGAGAGAAAGAGAGAGUGAGAGACGAAACGGAUUGAAGGAGGACCUAAAAUGAAUAUGGGGAUUGGAUGUAAUGACACAUUUGCAAUGUUUGCUACCCAUGUCUGCCUGUAAAUAAAUGGAAUUUUCAGUGGCUACAGAUGUUUCAUACUGCUGGACUUCACAGAGCAUCUUCAAUUCGGAAGGAAGAAAAGAUCAUUUUUAUUGUGUAUGCAUCUGACGGACCUAUUCAAGCGCAGCCUUCAUUAUUUAAAUCGAAGAAAACCUCCUUGAGUUGUGUGACAGCAUCUUCGCAUCUCUCCACAGACAGACACACAAAUAUGAACACCUGGCAAGACACACACAAAAUACGUGCACACUUGCACAGACUAACAACAGCCACAGUUGCCAUUCAAAAGUCUUUCCUUUGGCUUUCAAAAAUGAAAAUUGGUUUUCAGUCAAACCCGAUUAGUUGAUUGUGACAUUCAAGCAGUGUACAGAUAAAGUGGGAGGAUAUGACACACCGACAAAUACGUCUACACUCAGACAAAACAAUAUAAUGGUGGCUGCAGAGAGACGAGACAUCGGGUCCUUUUCAGACUUCUGAAUAAAGUCUCUUGGCUGCAGUCGGGCUGCCGACAGGUCUGUGUGCUAAUGAGAGUCUGUCCCAUGUCCUCCUCGUGUCCUUGAUGCUGGAGGGACGGUGUGAAUUGUAAUGAUGACAUAGUGUGCAAAUUGUAGACUUUUCCCCAAAGUGCCAAGUGUUGGGAAUAUGUGAGUCCCAUAUUGUUCAUCUAUCUGAUCUCCUCAUUCAAUUUUAUUUAUACAAACCAAAAUGAAGAUGCAUCGAGGUUCCUCAUUGGAAAGGAAGACAAUCACCAAAUAGCUUUUAAAGAUGAUCAAAAAGAAGAACAAAGAAGGAAAGUGUACUGUACUGAUUUCUUGGUGUGUUUUUUUCAGGAGCACCUUUAAAAUAAAGAUCACUCAUGUAUGUGGAAAAAAAGUACAUGUUCUGUGCUGAAGUUAUUUCAACUACAAUAACAAACAUAUUUCACACCCGUCUGGCCAGAAUAACCUAUGAUAAGAAAUAACCAUCCAUCAUAUGAAAUUGCUAACUUACUUCUUCAAACAUUGUUGGUUCGGUAAUUGAUGUCAUCUGAAGACAAUAUUAUUCAUUUAGCAUAACAGGUCGCCAGACACACACACACACACACACACACACACACACACACAGCCCAUAUAUCCUACUGACAUUCACCUCAUUUACUUAAUCUACUAAUCAUGCUGAUGUUAUCGUCUCUCAUGUACACAAGUGUUCAUGAAUGUGUGAUUUCCUGCCAAAAGGCCUUGAUUUGUAACAGGCGGGUGGCUGAGAGGAUACUUUAUCUUUUUGAAAUAUCUUGAAGGGUUCGUAAAAACCAUCAAACGCUUUACAGUGCUUCCAAGAGACUGAAAAUAGACGGGGGCAGAAUAAGAAAGAAGAUCCAUCUGAGCAACGGUUGAAUAAAAUAAAUGACCAGUCUACAGAGUAAACUGCAUAAGUUAAAGCUUACGGAUCCUAAAUCAAAGGUUAUUUGGGGGAGAAAAGAGUUGAAAUAAUGUUCCCCACUAACACGUAACACCAAUUAAUCAUUAAAUAAACUAUCCCAAAUGUGAAUAAUAUAUUUGGUAGUCUGAACUAUACUGUGGUUUCUGCUAUCAUUUCUCCGGUAGUGUCAGCGGAGGACGGUUAGUGUGUGUCGACUGAAUGGAUACAAAGUCAAUACAAGUGACAGUUCCAAUCAACCUCACCACAUGGCAGCUAGAUCUGUGUGUUCAUUAUUUUCUAGAUUGGCAGUUGGCUGCACACUCGCCUUUUUGUUCAUUGUGAUGGAGUCUGAAAAAAACGCUUUCAUGUUUGCAUUAGAACAGGACUCACAAAAAAACAUAUUACAUCGCACACAGAAUCUAUAACAUGCAAAUCUACUUUAAACAUAUGUACUAUCAUAUGUUUACUAUCAUACAUUAAUUGCCA
Gasterosteus aculeatus aculeatus (three-spined stickleback) is the source of this 2041-nucleotide long non-coding RNA. Lineage: Eukaryota; Metazoa; Chordata; Actinopteri; Perciformes; Gasterosteidae. The record is from Ensembl.